Molecule: ribosomal RNA, 497 nt
Filed under: uncultured bacterium
Lineage: Bacteria
Description: partial 16S ribosomal RNA
Rfam family: Bacterial small subunit ribosomal RNA
Source: RNAcentral
GAUGAACGCUGGCGGCGUGCCUAAUACAUGCAAGUCGAGCGAACAGACGAGGAGCUUGCUCCUUUGACGUUAGCGGCGGACGGGUGAGUAACACGUGGAUAACCUACCUAUAAGACUGGGAUAACUUCGGGAAACCGGAGCUAAUACCGGAUAACAUGUUGAACCGCAUGGUUCAACAGUGAAAGACGGUCUUGCUGUCACUUAUAGAUGGUUCCGCGCCGCAUUAGCUAGUUGGUAAGGUAACGGCUUACCAAGGCAACGAUGCGUAGCCGACCUGAGAGGGUGAUCGGCCACACUGGAACUGAGACACGGUCCAGACUCCUACGGGAGGCAGCAGUAGGGAAUCUUCCGCAAUGGGCGAAAGCCUGACGGAGCAACGCCGCGUGAGUGAAGAAGGUCUUCGGAUCGUAAAACUCUGUUAUUAGGGAAGAACAAAUGUGUAAGUAACUAUGCACGUCUUGACGGUACCUAAUCAGAAAGCCACGGCUAACUACGUG